UACAGAGGGGGCAAGCGUUGUCCGGAAUUAUUGGGCGUAAAGGGCUCGUAGGCGGUCUGUUGCGUCGGGAGUGAAAACUCAGGGCUUAACCCUGAGCCUGCUUCCGAUACGGGCAGACUAGAGGUAUGCAGGGGAGAACGGAAUUCCUGGUGUAGCGGUGAAAUGCGCAGAUAUCAGGAGGAACACCGGUGGCGAAGGCGGUUCUCUGGGCAUUACCUGACGCUGAGGAGCGAAAGUGUGGGGAGCGAACAGG
Molecule: ribosomal RNA, 253 nt
Filed under: uncultured bacterium
Lineage: Bacteria
Description: partial 16S ribosomal RNA
Rfam family: Bacterial small subunit ribosomal RNA
Source: RNAcentral